This 501-nucleotide ribosomal RNA is filed under the name uncultured bacterium. Its description in RNAcentral is "partial 16S ribosomal RNA". It matches the Rfam family "Bacterial small subunit ribosomal RNA", at positions 30 to 523 of the family's 1533-position model. The record is from RNAcentral.
AUUGAACGCUGGCGGCAGGCUUAACACAUGCAAGUCGAGCGGGGGAAGGUAGCUUGCUACCGGACCUAGCGGCGGACGGGUGAGUAAUGCUUAGGAAUCUGCCUAUUAGUGGGGGACAACAUCUCGAAAGGGAUGCUAAUACCGCAUACGUCCUACGGGAGAAAGCAGGGGAUCUUCGGACCUUGCGCUAAUAGAUGAGCCUAAGUCGGCUUAGCUAGUUGGUGGGGUAAAGGCCUACCAAGGCGACGAUCUGUAGCGGGUCUGAGAGGAUGAUCAGCCACACUGGGACUGGGGAACGGCCCAGACUCCUACGGGAGACAGCAGUGGGGAAUAUUGGAAAAUGGGGGGAACCCUGAUCCAGCCAUGCCGCGUGUGUGAAGAAGGCCUUAUGGUUGUAAAGCACUUUAAGCGAGGAGGAGGCUACUUUAGUUAAUACCUAGAGAUAGUGGACGUUACUCGCAGAAUAAGCACCGGCUAACUCUGUGCCAGCCGCCGCAGUAA